CAGUGCCUCAGAUAUCAGGCGGGACUCGGGCCAGCUGGAGCCAGAGCUGGGGACUUCGCCGGACAGAUUGCAGCAGCCCUGAGCCGAGGAGAAGUUGAACUAAACUGUCCUUUGGAUACUGACUAUGAAGGAUGACCGUUAAAACAAACUUUAUCGUGGAAGAGCCAGCCAUGCAAACUGCUGCGCGUGCAGCUAAUGAAAGAUUACAAGCAGUUAGUCUCGCGGGCCUAAACAGUUUCCAAUCGACUCUUCCCUGAGUACUGCUUACCCUUCCUGCUGUGUAGUGGUUAGAAUCAAAUAGGGGCAAAGCUGAGUUACUGUAAGAUAAAGUCUGUUGCUACUCCUGUUGUUUUGGAGCCUUGUGAUAAGAAAGGAAGGAGUGACUUUGGCAUUUGCUGGUGGAGUCAAGCAGAUUUGCCAGAUGAUAAAAGAACUGUGUGUUUAAUUAUUUGUCAGGCACGCCGAUGUAAGACACAUCACAAACGAAAUCAGAGCAACAGUGAAGUCUGAGGGUAGUUCGCACGCGUUUCGUAGAGAAACAUCAAGUGUUAGAAACACCAGCGAGGAGAAUAAAGUUUCUUGGCUGCGUUA
Leptonychotes weddellii (Weddell seal) is the source of this 591-nucleotide non-coding RNA. Lineage: Eukaryota; Metazoa; Chordata; Mammalia; Carnivora; Phocidae. The record is from RefSeq and is a predicted model, not a curated record.